RNAcentral lists this long non-coding RNA (726 nucleotides) under Homo sapiens (human). RNAcentral describes it as "non-protein coding lnc-SOGA1-1:1". Lineage: Eukaryota; Metazoa; Chordata; Mammalia; Primates; Hominidae. The record is from RNAcentral.
CCUGAUCAGGGAGUAUCGGCUGCGGGUGCGCAAGGCGUCCAGGAGUGACCUGGGGCUGUGGAGAGCGACCCGUGGCCUUGUGUUUCAGGUACGGAGGUUCCGGACUGGACGGGCGUCAGGAAGUCACAGACUUGUCCUCUGAUGUGGCCCCGCCCGCCGCCGCACUAAUCUCUUCGGCGUCGUACCCGUCGGCCCAGCUCGACCCGCCGCAGCCCCGGCCCCGACCGUGGACACUGGGGGUCCCCGAGGGCGCUGCGACCUCCUCCCGGGUGAAAUGAAACCCGAGGGCAGUCCCCCUUACCGACCCCAUUAGAGACGUAUCUGCCGUGCCAGGGGUCUAGGCUCCAGAAACAGGGAGCUCAGCCGGUCUAUCAGUGUCGAUUUAGCAGAAAGCAAACGGCUUGGCUGUCUCCUGCUUUCCAGUUUCCAGUUCUCUAUUCAGAAACUUGAACCUUUCCUAAGGGACACUAAGGGCUUCAGUCUUGAAAGUUUUAGAGCCAAAGCAUCUUCUCUUUCUGAAGAAUUGAAACAUUUUGCAGACGGACUGGAAACUGAUGGAACUCUACAAAAAUGUUUUGAAGAUUCAAAUGGAAAAGCAUCAGAUUUUUCUUUGGAAGCAUCUGUGGCUGAGAUGAAGGAAUACAUAACAAAGUUUUCUUUAGAACGUCAGACUUGGGAUCAGCUCUUGCUUCACUACCAGCAGGAGGCUAAAGAGAUAUUGUCCAG